Molecule: ribosomal RNA, 386 nt
Filed under: Pseudomonas sp.
Lineage: Bacteria; Pseudomonadati; Pseudomonadota; Gammaproteobacteria; Pseudomonadales; Pseudomonadaceae
Description: bacterial SSU rRNA
Rfam family: Bacterial small subunit ribosomal RNA
Source: RNAcentral
GCCUGGUAGUGGGGGACAACGUUUCGAAAGGAACGCUAAUACCGCAUACGUCCUACGGGAGAAAGCAGGGGACCUUCGGGCCUUGCGCUAUCAGAUGAGCCUAGGUCGGAUUAGCUAGUUGGUGGGGUAAUGGCUCACCAAGGCGACGAUCCGUAACUGGUCUGAGAGGAUGAUCAGUCACACUGGAACUGAGACACGGUCCAGACUCCUACGGGAGGCAGCAGUGGGGAAUAUUGGACAAUGGGCGAAAGCCUGAUCCAGCCAUGCCGCGUGUGUGAAGAAGGUCUUCGGAUUGUAAAGCACUUUAAGUUGGGAGGAAGGGCAGUAAGUUAAUACCUUGCUGUUUUGACGUUACCGACAGAAUAAGCACCGGCUAACUCUGUGCC